Long non-coding RNA from Panicum virgatum (switchgrass), 475 nucleotides. RefSeq lists it as uncharacterized. The record is from RefSeq and is a predicted model, not a curated record. The transcript is spliced from 2 exons. Lineage: Eukaryota; Viridiplantae; Streptophyta; Magnoliopsida; Poales; Poaceae.
GUUUGAGGUGCCGAUCAGGACACCGCAAAAUUCAAAUCCAUAUCAUUUCAAGAUCAACCUGUCCUCCCCUCCCCUCCCAGUCCCAGCUGCCGACACAAGGGGCCAGAGAGGCCCAAGGCCAGCUACCUUCGCCUCGGUCCCUACAGGAGAUGUAGGGAUGGAGGAUGUCAAACCAAAACCACAAUGCAAGGGCAACGAUAUUUCAGCGGUCCAGCAAACAAUCAUUCCGACGCUAUAGCUCUGUACAUAGCCAGGAUCCUUUUUAAUUCAUGAGCAAGAUAGGUCAACAGCACCGCUACAUUAAAACAGCCACCACCACAAGCAACCGAGGAAGCUCUGGAUCGGGACACAAAAACCACAACAGCGAUGGACUACAGGCAAUCACGGGAGUUCUUCAAUGUUUCGACAAGUCUGGCAAGCCAGAAACACAACGGUGUUUUUUGUUCUUGCUUAUUGCACCAAUCUAGGCGCAGCC